AACGAACGCUGGCGGCAGGCCUAACACAUGCAAGUCGAGCGCCCCGCCAGGGGAGCGGCGGACGGGUGAGUAACGCGUGGGAAUAUGCCCUUUGCUACGGAAUAGUCUCGGGAAACUGGGGGUAAUACCGUAUACGCCCUUUGGGGGAAAGAUUUAUCGGCGAAGGAUUAGCCCGCGUUGGAUUAGGUAGUUGGUGGGGUAAUGGCCUACCAAGCCGACGAUCCAUAGCUGGUUUGAGAGGAUGAUCAGCCACACUGGGACUGAGACACGGCCCAGACUCCUACGGGAGGCAGCAGUGGGGAAUCUUAGACAAUGGGGGCAACCCUGAUCUAGCCAUGCCGCGUGAGUGAUGAAGGCCUUAGGGUUGUAAAGCUCUUUCAGCUGGGAAGAUAAUGACGGUACCAGCAGAGGAGGCCCCGGCUAACUCCGUG
RNAcentral lists this ribosomal RNA (431 nucleotides) under uncultured bacterium. Its description in RNAcentral is "partial 16S ribosomal RNA". It matches the Rfam family "Bacterial small subunit ribosomal RNA", at positions 29 to 507 of the family's 1533-position model. The record is from RNAcentral.